Molecule: long non-coding RNA, 1224 nt
Organism: Tachysurus fulvidraco (yellow catfish)
Lineage: Eukaryota; Metazoa; Chordata; Actinopteri; Siluriformes; Bagridae
Exons: 3
Source: RefSeq, a predicted model, not a curated record
GUUUCAUUUUUCACGUCCCAUGCCUCAACACACACACAUUGCCACACAGAUCAUGGACUCUAAGCACUACAACAAUCACGUUUACCUGUACUAUCAUUCUGACUGCACACACCAGGAGUCAGUUACACACACGAGCUCCUUCCAUCGGUUCUUCGUGAUGUCCACACUCAUGUAGGUGUCCGUACCAGACAUUCUGACUCUGUACUGUUGUGUUCGUUAUGUUUCUUCUUUUAGCCCAAGGAACUGUUCAUGCACGUCAUCUGACACCGACAUGUUUGUCAAAUUCGAUUCUGCUUGGAUUUAUUUGCAAUGGUUUAAGCAGCGUAACCUGUAACCAGCACCUCCUCUGCCACCUGACUACAUGUGCAGGUUUUUAGUCUAGUCAAGCAGGAGCUGCACCUGAUUCCACCUGUUUAAUCAGCAGAUCUUAGCUUUAAAUAGACUCAGGUGUAGCAUCUGCUUGGUUGAAGUGAAAUCCUGCACCACACCUAAUAUUUCUACUUUUGACUUUUUCUGACUCUUUCCUAGAAAACUGUUCUGGAUCAGUUUAAGACAACAUACCUGCAAAAAAAGAAUUGGGCUUUUUACUCACCAGUGAACAAUAACCUCAUUCACACACCAUUUAUUUAUCACUACUAUUGCCUCAGAGCUCGGUGUCUCAGUCAGUCGAUGUUUCUUGAGAAAAACUGUAAGCCAAGACUGCAGGUAAAACUAUGGUGUGCGUUAAAAGAGGAUCCAAUCCGUGGCUGUCGCUGAAGCAGUGGAUCACAGGAUCAGGAGCACAGUUACAGCCGCCACAUGGCACGCAGCUGCCGGUACGGCCGGAGGGCAGCGUUUCUGAAGCACGUUGCUGAGAGAGAGCACCAGCUCCAUCAUGAAUCUGCCUCCUGCUCUUUUUACAACACAGCUCAGGGCCGUUUGUCAAGACGCUGGAGAGCGCCGGCGUUUAUUUUCCCCGCAAAUCACAUCGCUCUCUGUCUCAGUUCAGGCACGGAGAGAGGAAAGCCACCGCUUAAAGUUAUUCUCACUAAACUGUGACAGGAUUUACAGAGAAUGAGUUUAAAUGGGUUUAAAACAGACACGUCUUGUAUAAAUGUUAGCACAGUGCGGCAGAAGAAAGCGACGGGAGCUUAUCAGUGCCUUUGUGCUUUCUUAUGGAUUUUAGUUUUAUUAUUUUCAGCUUUUUAUAAAAUGAUUUUUUUAAUAAAGCCUUAUGGAAAUGAA